Molecule: long non-coding RNA, 760 nt
Filed under: Chrysemys picta bellii (western painted turtle)
Lineage: Eukaryota; Metazoa; Chordata; Testudines; Emydidae
Description: lncRNA (ENSCPBG00000009707.1)
Source: RNAcentral
UCAUCCUGGGGCUCUCAACCACUCCAUCCUCUCCUCAGUCUUGAGAGGAGGGGUGGAACAGGAGGUUUAUGCCCCUUCAGUGAUAAGGGGGGUGAUAAGGGGAGCCCAGACUCUCCCACUCCAUUCUCUGUUUCGCACUAACUACUAACUCCAUUAACUUCACUGAAGUUAUGAUAUACACUGGUGUGAGAUAAGAAUUAGGCCCAUAUGCUCUACUGAAAUGAGUGUAUUUUGAGGAAAGUGUGUGUAUGUGUCUCCUCUAAGGCCUACUCACAUUUCUCCUUUUUAAUUCCUUUAUUUUUGACCCAUCCUUCCAGCCAAAGAGGUUUGAAAGUCAUCUCCCUGCAGAGCUCUUCAAUGCCACUCCUGGAUUAGUUGGAGAGAGUGUCAUUAAGGAAAAGGAAGCAAGUGCUGUUGUUCACAAUAUGAAACAAGACUGUGAAAAAACCAGUGUCAACUUGGGUCAGAUUAAUUCCUGUGCAUAUGGAAGGACUCCUAAGGGAGAUGUGUGUCAUUCAGUAUGCAAAGGAAAAACAGAUCAAAACCCAUCAAGUGAGACAGACUGUAUUCAAGUAUCCUUGUCUUCCCAAGUAGAUUCAUUUUCUCAGUCUCAACUGACGGCUCAAGAGAGCAAUCAUCUGGGAUCUAGCAAAGUCUUCCGUCAGAAAUUCAAUAGCAGUGUUAGUUCACUCCCUCAUCUGGAAGGCCAAACGAAGCACAAUUUCAUUGUAAACGCCACCAGACCUCAUCCACAAGACAG